This is a long non-coding RNA of Homo sapiens (human), 678 nucleotides long. Lineage: Eukaryota; Metazoa; Chordata; Mammalia; Primates; Hominidae. The record is from Ensembl.
GCUGGGAAUACAUCAUGAGUUACCUGCCCAGAGGGUUUCUGCGGGUGAAGAAUCUUUGCUUUCACCUGGACUUUGCUUGCAGUGAAUGGGAAACUUCACAGCAGCUGCCCUCUUCACUGGAAUUCUCUAAGGUGCCUGUUCAGCCCUAUGGAAACGGCUGCCAGAUUCUUCUGUUUUCUUCAUGGAAAGCUCCCAAGUUUUUCUCUCCAAAAUCCCUUAGAAGUGCUUUGGCCAGUGGAAGAGAGGGGUCUUCAACGUCUUUCAAAGAACAGCUAAGAAAUAGUGGCUCAGUGAAGUUGCUAGUUAUGGGAACGCCACCUGCUGUGGGAGCUGCCAGUGACGGGAAGCCCAAAUCAGCAAGAUGAGCCCCAGCCGCAGGCCUCACAUUCUGGCAGUCUCCACGAGCCAAGAGGUGUCCAUGCCAAGUCCUCAUUCCCAUGGUGAUGCCUUAUGGGCUCCAUCAUGUUAGCCAGAAUAUACCCUGGGAGAUUAUACCUGGGAGACACGUAGCUCAACAAGUACGGAACAUGUCUUCCCUGCUGGUAUUGGGGGGACAGGAUGAAUAUCUGUCUGAUAAGCUCACUGAGAUAUGUUAGGCUUGUUCCCUGUGAAUAAUUUAUAUUUUGAGAAACCUAGUACUUUCAAAUUCAUACAAUAAUGAGCUGUGUUAUAUUAGGA